AUUGAACGCUGGCGGCGUGCCUAACACAUGCAAGUCGAGCGGUAACAGGUGUAGCAAUACAUGCUGACGAGCGGCGAACGGGUGAGUAAUGCUUCGGAAUCUACCCAAUGGUGGGGAAUAACCAGCCGAAAGGUUGGCUAAUACCGCAUACGUCCCACGGGAGAAAGCAGGGAUCGCAAGACCUUGCGCCAAUGGAUGAGCCGAAGUCGGAUUAGCUAGNGGUAGGGUAACGGCCUACCAAGGCGACGAUCCGUAGCUGGUCUGAGAGGACGACCAGCCACACUGGGACUGAGACACGGCCCAGACUCCUACGGGAGGCAGCAGUGGGGAAUAUUGGACAAAUGGGGGAAACCCGUGAUCCAGCGACGCCGCGUGUGUGAAGAAGGCCUGCGGGUUGUAAAGC
RNAcentral lists this ribosomal RNA (403 nucleotides) under uncultured bacterium. RNAcentral describes it as "bacterial SSU rRNA". It matches the Rfam family "Bacterial small subunit ribosomal RNA", at positions 29 to 431 of the family's 1533-position model. The record is from RNAcentral.